This 545-nucleotide ribosomal RNA is filed under the name Fusarium solani. Its description in RNAcentral is "eukaryotic LSU rRNA". The stretch from base 168 to 321 matches the Rfam family "5.8S ribosomal RNA". Lineage: Eukaryota; Fungi; Ascomycota; Sordariomycetes; Hypocreales; Nectriaceae. The record is from RNAcentral.
ACGCGGAGGGNCAUUACCGAGUUAUACAACUCAUCAACCCUGUGAACAUACCUAUAACGUUGCCUCGGCGGGAACAGACGGCCCCGUAACACGGGCCGCCCCCGCCAGAGGACCCCCUAACUCUGUUUCUAUAAUGUUUCUUCUGAGUAAACAAGCAAAUAAAUUAAAACUUUCAACAACGGAUCUCUUGGCUCUGGCAUCGAUGAAGAACGCAGCGAAAUGCGAUAAGUAAUGUGAAUUGCAGAAUUCAGUGAAUCAUCGAAUCUUUGAACGCACAUUGCGCCCGCCAGUAUUCUGGCGGGCAUGCCUGUUCGAGCGUCAUUACAACCCUCAGGCCCCCGGGCCUGGCGUUGGGGAUCGGCGGAAGCCCCCUGCGGGCACAACGCCGUCCCCCAAAUACAGUGGCGGUCCCGCCGCAGCUUCCAUUGCGUAGUAGCUAACACCUCGCAACUGGAGAGCGGCGCGGCCACGCCGUAAAACACCCAACUUCUGAAUGUUGACCUCGAAUCAGGUAGGAAUACCCGCUGAACUUAAGCAUAUCAAAA